CCUACGGGGGCAGCAGUGAGGAAUAUUGGUCAAUGGACGAGAGUCUGAACCAGCCAAGUAGCGUUAAGGAUGACUGCCCUAUGGGUUGUAAACUUCUUUUAUAAAGGAAUAAAACGAGGCACGUGUGCCUUUUUGCAUGUACUUUAUGAAUAAGGAUCGGCUAACUCCGUGCCAGCAGCCGCGGUAAUACGGAGGAUCCGAGCGUUAUCCGGAUUUAUUGGGUUUAAAGGGAGCGUAGAUGGGUUGUUAAGUCAGUUGUGAAAGUUUGCGGCUCAACCGUAAAAUUGCAAUUGAUACUGGCAGUCGUGAGUACAGUUGAGGUAAGCGGAAUUCGUGGUGUAGCGGUGAAAUGCUUAGAUAUCACGAAGAACCCCGAUUGCGAAGGCAGCUUACUAAACUGUGACUGACAUUGAUGCUCGAAAGUGUGUGUAUCAAACAGGAUUAGAUACCCCAGUAGUC
RNAcentral lists this ribosomal RNA (459 nucleotides) under uncultured bacterium. RNAcentral describes it as "partial 16S ribosomal RNA". It matches the Rfam family "Bacterial small subunit ribosomal RNA", at positions 338 to 795 of the family's 1533-position model. The record is from RNAcentral.